Molecule: ribosomal RNA, 253 nt
Filed under: uncultured bacterium
Lineage: Bacteria
Description: partial 16S ribosomal RNA
Rfam family: Bacterial small subunit ribosomal RNA
Source: RNAcentral
UACGUAGGGCGCAAGCGUUGUCCGGAAUUAUUGGGCGUAAAGAGCUCGUAGGCGGCUUGUCACGUCGGGUGUGAAAGCCCGGGGCUUAACCCCGGGUCUGCAUUCGAUACGGGCAGGCUAGAGUGUGGUAGGGGAGAUCGGAAUUCCUGGUAUAGCGGUGAAAUGCGCAGAUAUCAGGAGGAACACCGGUGGCGAAGGCGGAUCUCUGGGCCAUUACUGACGCUGAGGAGCGAAAGCGUGGGGAGCGAACAGG